CCCUGGCUCAGGACGAACGCGGCGGCGUGCCUAAUACAUGCAAGUCGAGCGAAUCGAUGGGAGCUUGCUCCCUGAGAUUAGCGGCGGACGGGUGAGUAACACGUGGGCAACCUGCCUAUAAGACUGGGAUAACUUCGGGAAACCGGAGCUAAUACCGGAUACGUUCUUUUCUCGCAUGAGAGAAGAUGGAAAGACGGUUUACGCUGUCACUUAUAGAUGGGCCCGCGGCGCAUUAGCUAGUUGGUGAGGUAAUGGCUCACCAAGGCGACGAUGCGUAGCCGACCUGAGAGGGUGAUCGGCCACACUGGGACUGAGACACGGCCCAGACUCCUACGGGAGGCAGCAGUAGGGAAUCUUCCGCAAUGGACGAAAGUCUGACGGAGCAACGCCGCGUGAACGAAGAAGGCCUUCGGGUCGUAAAGUUCUGUUGUUAGGGAAGAACAAGUACCAGAGUAACUGCUGGUACCUUGACGGUACCUAACCAGAAAGCCACGGCUA
RNAcentral lists this ribosomal RNA (498 nucleotides) under Bacillaceae bacterium CL3.35. RNAcentral's name for it is "bacterial SSU rRNA". It matches the Rfam family "Bacterial small subunit ribosomal RNA", at positions 17 to 499 of the family's 1533-position model. Lineage: Bacteria; Bacillati; Bacillota; Bacilli; Caryophanales; Bacillaceae. The record is from RNAcentral.